Paramuricea clavata is the source of this 73-nucleotide non-coding RNA. The record is from the annotation of a GenBank genome assembly. NCBI's taxonomy places the organism in Eukaryota, Metazoa, Cnidaria, Anthozoa, Malacalcyonacea, Plexauridae.
GAUCGCGCAGCUCAGUUGGCAGAGCAUUGGGCUAGUAUUCCAAAGGUCGUAGGUUCGAUUCCCACCGUGGUCA